RNAcentral lists this ribosomal RNA (253 nucleotides) under uncultured bacterium. Its description in RNAcentral is "partial 16S ribosomal RNA". It matches the Rfam family "Bacterial small subunit ribosomal RNA", at positions 524 to 776 of the family's 1533-position model. The record is from RNAcentral.
UACGGGGGGGGCAAGCGUUGUUCGGAAUUACUGGGCGUAAAGGGCUCGUAGGUGGCCAACUAAGUCAGACGUGAAAUCCCUCAGCUUAACUGGGGAACUGCGUCUGAUACUGGAUGGCUUGAGUUUGGGAGAGGGAUGCGGAAUUCCAGGUGUAGCGGUGAAAUGCGUAGAUAUCUGGAGGAACACCGGUGGCGAAGGCGGCGAUCUGGGUAGAUACUGACGCUGAGGUGCGAAAGCGUGGGGAGCAAACAGG